GAUGAAGAACGUAGCGAAAUGCGAUAAGUAAUGUGAAUUGCAGAAUUCAGUGAAUCAUCGAAUCUUUGAACGCAUCUUGCGCUCCUUGGUAUUCUGAGGAGCAUGCCUGUUUGAGUGUCAUUAAAUUCUCAACUACACUGACUUUGAAUUGGUGUGGCUUGGAUUUGGGUGGGAAAAUUGUUGUGGGCUUUUUGUAUAGUCUGCUCCCCUGAAAUUGAUUAGCGGUACCUUUGUGGAACUGUCUACAGGUGUGAUAAUUAUCUACAUCCUAGACAUCUGCUGGAAUGCUGCUUUCUAAACCCUACUUGUAUUGACAAUCUUGACCUCAAAUCAGGUAGGACUACCCGCUGAACUUAAGCAUAUCAAUAAGCGGAGGA
Molecule: unclassified non-coding RNA, 377 nt
Filed under: soil metagenome
Description: partial contains 5.8S ribosomal RNA, internal transcribed spacer 2, and large subunit ribosomal RNA
Rfam family: 5.8S ribosomal RNA (bases 1-120)
Source: RNAcentral